GUUAAUCCCAUCGCCCUUGCCCGAUCCCUCUCGAGUCUCCUCCCUCGCCUCCCCCGUCCCCUUCCCCUCCCCCCUCUCGGAUCCGCCCCCCCGCGGCCCGCCCCUCGCCGCCGGCGACCAUGUCCAAGUACGGCACCAUCCCCACCUCCUCCUCCUCCGCCGCCGCGGGGGCGCCCCACCUCGGCGGCGCCUCCCCGCUCGACUUCAUCUCCCGCGCCAAGGCCCGCGGCGCGACGGCGCUGGCCACGCGCCGGCCGUGGCGCGAGCUCGCGGACGUGCACGCCAUCGGGCUGCCCCCGAGCCUCGGCGACGCCUACCUGCGCGUGCGCGCCAACCUCGCCCACUUCGCCAUGAACUACGCCAUCGUCGUCCUCGUCGUCGUCUUCCUCUCCCUCCUCUGGCAGCCCAUCUCCCUCAUCGUCUUCCUCGUCUGCAUGGUCGGCUGGCUCGUCCUCUACUUCCUCCACGACGAGCCCAUCGUCCUCUUCGGCCGCGUCGUCGGCGACGGCGUGGUCCUCGCCGUGCUCGCUGCUGUCACGCUCAUCCUCCUGCUGCUCACCGGCGCCACCACCAACAUCCUCACGUCGCUGCUCAUCGGCUUCGUGCUCGUCGUGGUGCACGCCGCCCUGCACAAGGCGGAGGACAACGUUGACGAAGAGGUCGGCCGCUGGUACGCGCCUGUGCCAGCGCAGUAGUGUGAGAUCGCUCGCCCUCCAACUCUUGGGCCUGAGUGUGCUCGAUUCUCCUGGUCCUCCCUUCGUUCUCAAGUAUUCUAUGAGUGUAAGUUUAGCAUUGGUAUAUGGUCUCGGUCCAGUCAGGAUGAAGAACUUGUAGCUGGUGGUUCGUCUUCCGCAUGACGCUGGUUCAUCUGAAGCUUUUGAUCCAGUGAUGAUGGAAGGUUGUAAACUUUGGUCGUUGCGUACAGUUCAAAGAUUUUCUCUUGUUUACAUGUACCAAAUAUGGGAGAGAACGAAUCUGCACUCUGAAGUGUGAGAACUCAGCUGGCAGGGGCCCUCUGUGAGGCUGGUAUGCAUUACUUCGUGCUGGUAAUUUCUGAUCUACUCACGUGGUUUCAUCUUGUAUGCACACGGUUUUGUUUGAAAGAGAUUGUCAAUUCCGCGCCAAUUAACCGCGCGGCUACUAUCUGCAAGCUGUCGGACAUCUUGGGAAGUCUAUGUAGGAAAUUGUUUUACUCUGUUCAUUUUAUUUACUAUAUCUUCUGAAAUACAGGAUGUGUAUUGUUGAUCUUUUCUUUUAUACCUCU
RNAcentral lists this ribosomal RNA (1264 nucleotides) under Triticum aestivum (bread wheat). RNAcentral describes it as "partial small subunit ribosomal RNA". Lineage: Eukaryota; Viridiplantae; Streptophyta; Magnoliopsida; Poales; Poaceae. The record is from RNAcentral.